GGGUUGUGAGGUUAAGCGACUAAGCGUACACGGUGGAUGCCCUGGCAGUCAGAGGCGAUGAAGGGCGUGCUAAUCUGCGAUAAGCGCCGGUAAGGUGAUAUGAACCGUUAUAACCGGCGAUACCCGAAUGGGGAAACCCAGUGUGACUCGUCACACUAUCAUUAACUGAAUCCAUAGGUUAAUGAGGCGAACCGGGGGAACUGAAACAUCUAAGUACCCCGAGGAAAAGAAAUCAACCGAGAUUCCCCCAGUAGCGGCGAGCGAACGGGGAGGAGCCCAGAGCCUGAAUCAGCAUGUGUGUUAGUGGAAGCGUCUGGAAAGGCGCGCGAUACAGGGUGACAGCCCCGUACACAAAAGCGCAUGUGCUGUGAGCUCGAUGAGUAGGGCGGGACACGUGGUAUCCUGUCUGAAUAUGGGGGGACCAUCCUCCAAGGCUAAAUACUCCUGACUGACCGAUAGUGAACCAGUACCGUGAGGGAAAGGCGAAAAGAACCCCGGCGAGGGGAGUGAAAAAGAACCUGAAACCGUGUACGUACAAGCAGUGGGAGCCCCACCACUAAGCCAGUGGUGAACUCCACAUACGCAUCCUUUGCUGAGGAUACGGUUAACGGAGCGAAAGCGACGUUCAACCUCAAAAGAAGCAGAGGGGGCUUAGUGGUGGGGUGACUGCGUACCUUUUGUAUAAUGGGUCAGCGACUUAUAUUCUGUAGCAAGGUUAACCGUAUAGGGGAGCCGGAGGGAAACCGAGUCUUAACCGGGCGUUAAGUUGCAGGGUAUAGACCCGAAACCCGGUGAUCUAGCCAUGGGCAGGUUGAAGGUUGGGUAACACUAACUGGAGGACCGAACCGACUAAUGUUGAAAAAUUAGCGGAUGACCUGUGGCUGGGGGUGAAAGGCCAAUCAAACCGGGAGAUAGCUGGUUCUCCCCGAAAGCUAUUUAGGUAGCGCCUCGUGAAUUCAUCUCCGGGGGUAGAGCACUGUUUCGGCUAGGGGGCCAUCCCGGCUUACCAACCCGAUGCAAACUGCGAAUACCGGAGAAUGUUAUCACGGGAGACACACGGCGGGUGCUAACGUCCGUCGUGAAGAGGGAAACAACCCAGACCGCCAGCUAAGGUCCCAAAGUCAUGGUUAAGUGGGAAACGAUGUGGGAAGGCCCAGACAGCCAGGAUGUUGGCUUAGAAGCAGCCAUCAUUUAAAGAAAGCGUAAUAGCUCACUGGUCGAGUCGGCCUGCGCGGAAGAUGUAACGGGGCUAAACCAUGCACCGAAGCUGCGGCAGCGACGCUUAUGCGUUGUUGGGUAGGGGAGCGUUCUGUAAGCCUGUGAAGGUGGCCUGUGAGGGUUGCUGGAGGUAUCAGAAGUGCGAAUGCUGACAUAAGUAACGAUAAAGCGGGUGAAAAGCCCGCUCGCCGGAAGACCAAGGGUUCCUGUCCAACGUUAAUCGGGGCAGGGUGAGUCGACCCCUAAGGCGAGGCCGAAAGGCGUAGUCGAUGGGAAACGGGUUAAUAUUCCCGUACUUGGUGUUACUGCGAAGGGGGGACGGAGAAGGCUAUGUUGGCCGGGCGACGGUUGUCCCGGUUUAAGCGUGUAGGUGUGUGUUCCAGGUAAAUCCGGUUCACUUUAACACUGAGGCGUGAUGACGAGGCACUACGGUGCUGAAGCAACAAAUGCCCUGCUUCCAGGAAAAGCCUCUAAGCAUCAGGUAACACGAAAUCGUACCCCAAACCGACACAGGUGGUCAGGUAGAGAAUACCAAGGCGCUUGAGAGAACUCGGGUGAAGGAACUAGGCAAAAUGGUGCCGUAACUUCGGGAGAAGGCACGCUGACACGUAGGUGAAGUGAUUUACUCAUGGAGCUGAAGUCAGUCGAAGAUACCAGCUGGCUGCAACUGUUUAUUAAAAACACAGCACUGUGCAAACACGAAAGUGGACGUAUACGGUGUGACGCCUGCCCGGUGCCGGAAGGUUAAUUGAUGGGGUCAGCGCAAGCGAAGCUCCUGAUCGAAGCCCCGGUAAACGGCGGCCGUAACUAUAACGGUCCUAAGGUAGCGAAAUUCCUUGUCGGGUAAGUUCCGACCUGCACGAAUGGCGUAAUGAUGGCCAGGCUGUCUCCACCCGAGACUCAGUGAAAUUGAACUCGCUGUGAAGAUGCAGUGUACCCGCGGCAAGACGGAAAGACCCCGUGAACCUUUACUAUAGCUUGACACUGAACAUUGAGCCUUGAUGUGUAGGAUAGGUGGGAGGCUUUGAAGCGUGGACGCCAGUCUGCGUGGAGCCGACCUUGAAAUACCACCCUUUAAUGUUUGAUGUUCUAACGUGGACCCGUAAUCCGGGUUGCGGACAGUGUCUGGUGGGUAGUUUGACUGGGGCGGUCUCCUCCUAAAGAGUAACGGAGGAGCACGAAGGUUGGCUAAUCCUGGUCGGACAUCAGGAGGUUAGUGCAAUGGCAUAAGCCAGCUUGACUGCGAGCGUGACGGCGCGAGCAGGUGCGAAAGCAGGUCAUAGUGAUCCGGUGGUUCUGAAUGGAAGGGCCAUCGCUCAACGGAUAAAAGGUACUCCGGGGAUAACAGGCUGAUACCGCCCAAGAGUUCAUAUCGACGGCGGUGUUUGGCACCUCGAUGUCGGCUCAUCACAUCCUGGGGCUGAAGUAGGUCCCAAGGGUAUGGCUGUUCGCCAUUUAAAGUGGUACGCGAGCUGGGUUUAGAACGUCGUGAGACAGUUCGGUCCCUAUCUGCCGUGGGCGCUGGAGAACUGAGGGGGGCUGCUCCUAGUACGAGAGGACCGGAGUGGACGCAUCACUGGUGUUCGGGUUGUCAUGCCAAUGGCACUGCCCGGUAGCUAAAUGCGGAAGAGAUAAGUGCUGAAAGCAUCUAAGCACGAAACUUGCCCCGAGAUGAGUUCUCCCUGAGACUUAGAGUCUCCUGAAGGAACGUUGAAGACGACGACGUUGAUAGGCCGGGUGUGUAAGCGCAGCGAUGCGUUGAGCUAACCGGUACUAAUGAACCGUGAGGCUUAACCUUACAACGCCGAAG
RNAcentral lists this ribosomal RNA (3028 nucleotides) under Salmonella enterica. RNAcentral's name for it is "bacterial LSU rRNA". It matches the Rfam family "Bacterial large subunit ribosomal RNA". The record is from RNAcentral. Lineage: Bacteria; Pseudomonadati; Pseudomonadota; Gammaproteobacteria; Enterobacterales; Enterobacteriaceae.